Callorhinus ursinus (northern fur seal) is the source of this 114-nucleotide non-coding RNA. The record is from RefSeq and is a predicted model, not a curated record. Lineage: Eukaryota; Metazoa; Chordata; Mammalia; Carnivora; Otariidae.
CCCAAAGCUCAACUAUCAGCACAUAAUAACCAAGAAGAAAAGUGUGCAAGCCAUCUGAAGAAGCCAAACUGAAUGUAUUUAUAUAUGUAAAGAAAAAGGUGACAGAGAGAGAGC